GAGGGGGAGUGUUGAGAAGAGGUGAUAAAGAGUGGAUACAUUGAUAAAGGAAGAGUAUUGAAGCAGUCAGUUACUUUGGGGAUUUACCACAGUAACUUUAGUUUUUACUGUGGUAACUAAGCUAAAGGCUUGGGAAGUUAUCUUGCAACACUUUGGAGAGUAUAUCACGCCAAGGAGCAGUCUGGAUAAGAAAGGAUCAGUUUGGAUAAGGUCUGGUCAUAGCUGGAAAGGAAAAGCUACUUUACAGCCUGUCCAAGCAUGUGAAGCCUCUCAACCAUCCAGCUAGCUUUGACUUCACAUGCUUUGAGUCCCAUUUCGAAAUCCCCUUUGUACCAGCCUUAUCUCUUCAUAUAUAACUUGUAUCUGAGACAUUAAAUCAAUUAAUGGAGUUUUGAGUAUUCUCUCUAUUCUCUCUCUACU
Molecule: long non-coding RNA, 420 nt
Filed under: Brassica napus (rape)
Lineage: Eukaryota; Viridiplantae; Streptophyta; Magnoliopsida; Brassicales; Brassicaceae
Description: long non-coding RNA (BNAP_LNC003935)
Source: RNAcentral